This 170-nucleotide ribosomal RNA is filed under the name Porodisculus orientalis. Its description in RNAcentral is "5.8S ribosomal RNA". It matches the Rfam family "5.8S ribosomal RNA". From Rfam's summary of the family: 5.8S ribosomal RNA (5.8S rRNA) is a component of the large subunit of the eukaryotic ribosome. It is transcribed by RNA polymerase I as part of the 45S precursor that also contains 18S and 28S rRNA. Lineage: Eukaryota; Fungi; Basidiomycota; Agaricomycetes; Agaricales; Schizophyllaceae. The record is from RNAcentral.
ACAACUUUUGACAACGGAUCUCUUGGCUCUCGCAUCGAUGAAGAACGCAGCGAAAUGCGAUAAGUAAUGUGAAUUGCAGAAUUCAGUGAAUCAUCGAAUCUUUGAACGCACCUUGCGCCCCUUGGUAUUCCGAGGGGCAUGCCUGUUUGAGUGUCAUUAAACUCUCAACC